Molecule: small RNA, 271 nt
Filed under: Otolemur garnettii (small-eared galago)
Lineage: Eukaryota; Metazoa; Chordata; Mammalia; Primates; Galagidae
Description: Metazoan signal recognition particle RNA (ENSOGAG00000032923.1)
Source: RNAcentral
GCAAGAGAAUCGCUUAAGCCCAAGAGUUUGAGGUUGUUGUAUGCUGUGAUGCCACAGCAUUCUACCCAGGGCAACAGCUUGAGACUUUGUCUCAAAAACAGCUUAAGAGUCUCUCUCUUUUUUUUGUAGAGACAGAGUCUCACUUUGUUGCCUUUGGUAGAGUGCUAUGGCGUCACAGCUCACAGCAACCUCCAACUCCUGGGCUUAAGUGAUUCUCUUGCCUCAGCCUCCCAAGUAGCUGGGACUACAGGCACCUGCCACAGUGCCCAGC